This 204-nucleotide ribosomal RNA is filed under the name uncultured bacterium. RNAcentral's name for it is "partial 16S ribosomal RNA". It matches the Rfam family "Bacterial small subunit ribosomal RNA", at positions 524 to 727 of the family's 1533-position model. The record is from RNAcentral.
UACGAAGGGGGCUAGCGUUGUUCGGAUUUACUGGGCGUAAAGCGCACGUAGGCGGAUCGUUAAGUCGGGGGUGAAAUCCUGGAGCUCAACUCCAGAACUGCCUUCGAUACUGGCGAUCUUGAGUCCGGAAGAGGUGAGUGGAACUCCUAGUGUAGAGGUGGAAUUCGUAGAUAUUAGGAAGAACACCAGUGGCGAAGGCGGCGU